Molecule: ribosomal RNA, 1370 nt
Filed under: uncultured bacterium
Lineage: Bacteria
Description: bacterial SSU rRNA
Rfam family: Bacterial small subunit ribosomal RNA
Source: RNAcentral
UCGAACGCUGGCGGCGUGUUUAACACAUGCAAGUCGCACGGAGGAUAUUUUAUAGCAAUAUACGAUAUUCUCAGUGGCGCACGGGUGAUUAACACGUGAAUGACAUGCCCUAUAGAGGGGGAUAGCCCAGGGAAACUUGGAUUAAUACCCCAUAGUAUCGCGAGAUUAACCGUGGCCGCUUGCUGUCCCUAUAGGAUUGGUUCGCGUUCUAUCAUCUUGUUGGUGAGGUAAUGGCUCACCAACGCUACGACGGAGACCUGGUCUGACAAGACGAUCAGGCACACUGGAACUGAGACACGGACCCCACCCCUACGGGUGGCAGCGGUCUAUAAUAAUUCACAAUGGGGGCAACCCUGAUGGUGCAACGCCCCGUGGAAGAUGACUGUCUUCGGAUUGUAAACUCCUGUCAUCUGGGAGUAAGGCAUGGUGUUAAUAACACACAUGAUUGAUACUACCAAAAGAGGAAGGGACGGCUAACUUCCUGCCACCACCCGCGGUAAUACGAAGGUCCCGAGCGUUGUUCUGACUCACUGUGCGUAAAGGGAGCGUAGGCUGCGUGGCAAGUCAUAUGUGAAAUCCCGGGGCUCAACCCCGGAACUGCAUCCCAUACUGCCGUGCUAGAGAGCUAGAGAGGCAACUGGAAUUCUCGGUGUAGCAAUGAAAUGCAUGUAUAUCGAAACGAAGAUCAAUGACGAAAGCCCGUUGCUGGACAGUAUCUGACGCUCACGCUCGAAUGCUAAGGGAGCGAAAGGGAUUAGAUACCCAUGUAGUCGUAGCAGUCACCGGUGUGCGUGUGGUGUGAGGGGAAUCGACCCCCCUUGUGCGGGAGCUAACGCGUUAAGCGCACCGCCUGCGAAGUACGGUCGCAAGACUAAAACUCAAAGAAAUUGACGGGGACCCGCACAAGCGGUGGAGUAUGUGGCUUAUUUAGAUGCAACGCGAAGAACCUUCCUUAGGCUCGACAUGCAUCUCCAAGCGCGUGAAAGCGCGUGACCCUUCGGGGGAUUUGCCCAGCUGCCGCAUGGCGGUCGUCAGCUCGUGUCUUGAGAUGUUGGGUUAAGUCCCGCAACGAGCGCAACCCUUGUGCUUAGUCGCCAGCACGUAAAGGUGGGAACUCUAGACAGACUGCCCAGAUCAACUGGGAGGAAGGUGGGGACGACGUCAGGUCAGUAUGGCCCUUACGCGUAGGGCUGCACACGUAAUACAAUGCCCAGUACAAUGAGAGCCGAGACCGCGAGGUGGAGGAAAUCCGCAAAACUCGGUUCAGUUCGGAUUGGAGGUUGCAACUCGCCUCCAUGAAGUUGGAAUCGCUAGUAAUGGCGCAUCAGCUACGGCGCCGUGAAUACGUUCCCGGGUCUUGCACUCACCGC